This 1929-nucleotide long non-coding RNA is filed under the name Homo sapiens (human). Its description in RNAcentral is "HSALNT0272834". The record is from RNAcentral. Lineage: Eukaryota; Metazoa; Chordata; Mammalia; Primates; Hominidae.
AAAUGUUAUCAAACACAUACACCUUUUGCAACUGCGGAUUGAAAACUCAACCGUGUCAACUAGCAUUUUUAACUAACUAUAGUUUUAGUCUUAAAGGGUGCUGAGUUUAUGCGUUAUAAAUGAACACCCCCCUCCCUUUUUUUUUCUCUCUAAUUUGGGUGCUCACGUCAAAAGCAUCUAAAAGCAUUUUAACUUUUGUCGACUGUCCCAAUUCAAGUUUGUUUGAGAGAGUCCUCCCUUCUUAGCUUGGAUCCUUUAUAUAAGUCCAGAUGAAUAAAAUAAAAUGAAAUGCAAAAGGAAGGCAUCAUUAAUGGCUUGAAGGCGUCCCACUUUUAUUUUCUUGUAUUUUAAGAGCUGAAGUUGGAAAUAUGGAAUCCUCCCAAGCCGCUCAGAAAGUUUGAAGACACAGGGGGCAGGGACCCAGACUUAUGGAAGUCUCCGCCUCAGGCUGAAGGUGGUCAAGGGGUUUGAAGGCACGACUAUUCAUAUGAUUUGGGAGAGGUUGCUGAAUCUCCAGGAGAUACCCUUGUGAGCUUCAGACUGGGGUCUGUGUCUGGGACUGGAAGACCCCAGGACAUUGGAGAGAGGAGCAAAGCCUAGAGCAUGAGCCCCAGAAGACGCCACUGUGCCGGUGCACCACCUGGGGACUUUGGCUUAUGUGGAUUCUGUUUCAGUAGAUCUGGGUGGGAUCGAGAUCUUUUAUUUCCAACCAACACCCACGUCCCAGGACCUCACUGGAAAGAGGCGGGCGGGCGCGGGGAGCCUUCCUGAGGUUCCUGGUUCUCAAGAGCCGGGUGUAAGGAAGGAAAAUCAAAGAUUGAAUUUAGAUGUAUGUAUUGGAGGGGAAUAUUGGAGGAAGGGGGAGCAGGGGAGCACGCCCAGCCUCCUCUCCUGUCUUUCCCGCCCCCUUGUCUAAACUCAAAACCGAGUCCGGGCGCGCCUUGCAGGGCGCCCGAGCUCUGCAGCGGCGUUGCGGGCUGAACCCAUCCGGCACAAACUGCGGGCCACUGGCCCCUCACACCUGGGAGUUUGCGGCGCUGGCCUGCAGCCCGGGGCCCACGUGGCGGAAGCUUUCCCGGGCGCGCGCUGCGCAGCCCCGCGGGGCCGGGGAGACACCGCUCGGGAGUCCUCCGCUCGGCUGCAGAAUCUUUAUCAGCUGCACUUUACCGCAGCCCUGGCUAGGACGCUAGGCGGUGGAGCGCCCUAUCCAGGUGCGCCGCCGCACCAUGGAUCACCGCGCCCGGUCCCGCAGUCCCGCCAUGGCCUGGGGAGGCCCGAAGCCCGGGGACAGUGGCCGGCCCAUCUCCGGCUCCGCGGACCCCCGGCUCAGGCGGGAGGGCAGGCGGGUCCCUGCAGGCCCCCAGGGAGCCCGGGAGCCUCUCUCUGGCGUCAUUCAGUCCCGGGGCAACCUGAAGCGCGGUAGAUAUUGGAGAGGGGGCGUCUGUUGGGGGGACCUGGCGUCAUUACUGAUGGCUAGCAGGGAGGAGGGAACGGGUUGUCACCUCGGCCUCAUAAGGCCGUGAGUGAGUAGUCCAGGGCCUCUUCAGGCAUUUUUGAAACUGGAUUAACUAGGGGGGAAAUUGUAGCACUGAAGCCACCGUGACUGUCUUUUGCGCUGUGUGGAAACUCCGGUAAAACUCUUUGGGCAACAGUCUUAUCACCAGCUCUUCAACGUGUGCAGCCCUUCUGGUCCUGUCCCUGUUCUGGGCCCCAGGAAUGCAAAGCAGGUCCAGGCACUGUGAAGACCCUGGCGGUGGAGGAAGAGGCUUCCCGGCUGUGGAGGAAGCCAGACCCUUACAACACAAGACGAGAACCAGACCUGCGUGGGGGAGCUCUGGAUGCUACAGGGGCUCAAGGAGGGGUGGAGGGGCCUUCCCAGGCCAACCCCUGAACGGCUUGGACAAGAUGCUCAGAUGGACGGGAGGAACG